Molecule: ribosomal RNA, 250 nt
Filed under: uncultured bacterium
Lineage: Bacteria
Description: partial 16S ribosomal RNA
Rfam family: Bacterial small subunit ribosomal RNA
Source: RNAcentral
UACGGAGGAUGCAAGCGUUAUCCGGAAUGAUUGGGCGUAAAGCGCCCGCAGGUGGCCCUGUAAGUCUGCUGUCAAAGAGUUUGGCUCAACCAAAUAAAGGCAGUGGAAACUACAGAGCUAGAGUGCGUUCGGGGCAGAAGGAAUUCCUGGUGUAGCGGUGAAAUGCGUAGAUAUCAGGAAGAACACCGGUGGCGAAAGCGUUCUGCUAGGCCGCAACUGACACUGAGGGACGAAAGCUAGGGGAGCGAAU